RNAcentral lists this transfer RNA (85 nucleotides) under Ruminococcus sp. RNAcentral's name for it is "tRNA-Leu". It matches the Rfam family "tRNA". Rfam says of the family: Transfer RNA (tRNA) molecules are approximately 80 nucleotides in length. Lineage: Bacteria; Bacillati; Bacillota; Clostridia; Eubacteriales; Oscillospiraceae. The record is from RNAcentral.
GCGAGUGUGCUGGAAUAGGCAGACAGGCACGUUUGAGGGGCGUGUGUCGUAAGGCGUAUGGGUUCAAGUCCCAUCACUCGCACCA